This 106-nucleotide non-coding RNA is filed under the name Haloechinothrix halophila YIM 93223. Its description in RNAcentral is "Amycolatopsis halophila YIM 93223 TPP riboswitch aptamer (THI element)". It matches the Rfam family "TPP riboswitch aptamer (THI element)". Rfam says of the family: Vitamin B(1) in its active form thiamin pyrophosphate (TPP) is an essential coenzyme that is synthesised by coupling of pyrimidine and thiazole moieties in bacteria. The previously detected thiamin-regulatory element, thi box was extended, resulting in a new, highly conserved RNA secondary structure, the THI element, which is widely distributed in eubacteria and also occurs in some archaea. RNAcentral also lists the same sequence under 1 other name. The record is from Rfam by way of RNAcentral. Lineage: Bacteria; Bacillati; Actinomycetota; Actinomycetes; Pseudonocardiales; Pseudonocardiaceae.
CAGUGUCCGCACGGGAGCCGCUGCAGCGGCUGAGAGGGAGCAUGCAGCUCCGACCGUGGAACCUGAUCCGGGUUAUGCCGGCGCAGGGAGCGUGAUUCGUGUGAUG